This is a long non-coding RNA of Nerophis lumbriciformis (worm pipefish), 1036 nucleotides long. RefSeq lists it as uncharacterized. The record is from RefSeq and is a predicted model, not a curated record. Lineage: Eukaryota; Metazoa; Chordata; Actinopteri; Syngnathiformes; Syngnathidae.
UAAGAUUGGUCGGCUUUUGGACAAUAAUAAUCUGCCUCAGCUCCUCCACCGUGUUGACCGUCAGAGCGAUGCCGCGUCUCCUGGAGAGACAAGGCAAGAUUCAGCUCCACAAACCUACAGCAGUGGCAGCUCUGAGACCAUCUUGUAAUAGGAUGACAGCACCAAGAAUGGACGGUGUACCAAGGACCGCAGCAAUUUAUUUUUAAUGAGUUUAACUCUGCUUGCCCCUGCGCGUCCCCAGCAGAUUCGGUGACCACAGAUGAGGCGCGAGCUGUUCAAAGUCGGGACCCAGGGUGGACCACUCAUCUGUGCAUCAGUUGGGGACGUCUCAGCGCUGCUGACCUGUCUCCACUAAAGAUGAUCUCCUGCUGGCCCCACUAUGUACUGGACUCUUACACUAUUAUGUUAGAUCCACUAUGACUGCAGCGUGACCCCAAGGAUGCAGAGAUAGCAGGUGGAAUGCAAGUAAAACUAAUUUAAUUGUCACAAGAAGCAGGGAACAAACACUAAGCAACAAUCUAGAAAGUACAAUGAUCUAUCCCUGAAGAAGGAACCCAUGUAGCACUAAAUAGAACUGAAUAAUGAGAAUCAGGUGUGAUGGCAGUCCAUGGAACAGAAAGUAAAAGUGUUUCAAAACACAGAGAGCAAAUAGGAAAUACUGAUAAAACAAGCGCACCAGGACAGGAAGUGCUUCUAAGCACAGGAUGUUGACAACAAAACCAAAAUGGUUAUGAAGGAUCUUGACAAUUUUGCUUCUUUUGUAAGUAUAAUCCAGUGCUUUUUGUCUGCUUUAAAUGGGAACUGCACUUGUUUCUAUUUUUUCCCUAUCAUUUGCAAUCCUUAUUUUAGACAAGGACACAUAUCUUAGUUUUUUUUGUGCAGCCUAAAUUGUAAAAUACGGCUAGUCAAGAUAGUUAACAAUGUACAGUAGUUAAAGGGAUUCACUUAUUCAGCCUACAAAGCCCUCUAAAAACAUUCAAAAUCCACCAACAAUACUUCUCUUACAUGCGAUGACCUCCAUAUUAACCAAGUGUCC